UAAUAUUAAUUAAUAAUUUUGGUUUUGGAGUUAAAAUUAUUUGUUUUGAAUUUAAUUUUUUUGUUUUUAGGUAAAAUUUAAAUUUUAAUUAAUUUUUUUUUGAUUCUUUGAAGCAUAUAAUAUAGACUAGGAUUAGAUACCCUAUUAUAAUAUGUUUAAAUUUUUAACUUGGGUAGUAUUAGUUAUGUUCUUUAAACCUAAAGAAUUUGGCGGUGUUUUAGUCUAUUUAGAGGAAUUUGCUCUUUAAUCGAUAGUCCUCGUUUUAUCUUACUUAAUUUUGUUAAUCAG
Molecule: ribosomal RNA, 288 nt
Filed under: Candovia annulata
Lineage: Eukaryota; Metazoa; Arthropoda; Insecta; Phasmatodea; Lonchodidae
Description: partial small subunit ribosomal RNA
Source: RNAcentral